CAGUAGCCGCGGUAAUACGUAGGUGGCAAGCGUUGUCCGGAAUUAUUGGGCGUAAAGGGCGCGUAGGCGGACUGAUAAGUCAGGGGUGAAAUCCCAAGGCUCAACCUUGGAACUGCCUUUGAUACUGUUUGUCUUGAGUUUGAGAGAGGUAAGUGGAACUGCGAGUGUAGAGGUGAAAUUCGUAGAUAUUCGCAAGAACACCAGUGGCGAAGGCGGCUUACUGGCUCGAUACUGACGCUGAGGCGCGAAAGCGUGGGGAGCAAACAGGAUUAGAUACCCGCGUAGUCCCUGUCUCUUAUAU
RNAcentral lists this ribosomal RNA (301 nucleotides) under uncultured bacterium. Its description in RNAcentral is "partial 16S ribosomal RNA". It matches the Rfam family "Bacterial small subunit ribosomal RNA", at positions 509 to 809 of the family's 1533-position model. The record is from RNAcentral.